ACUUGUGACUUGACUUGGACUUUUACACCAAUGACUUGGGACUUGAAUUGGACUUGAACCUGUUUACUUGAAAAGACUUGAUAUUUUACCCCAAAUCUAAAAUUUAACACAUAUUAAAUAAAAAGUCCCCACCAUUAAAUCAUUUCAUUAAUUCUUACCACACUCCGUAUGUAUGUGUGCGUGAGCUGUAGCACAUCCAAUCAAAUUAACCAAAUUUUAAAAAAACAAAAAUGGUCCCAGGAGUAAUUUCUUUCGGGUAGGUAAACUACGAAGAAGUCAACAAAAAACGAAAUGCAAUAUGAAAAACGUGCAAGAAGAGAAUCACAGACGGAGAUGGAACAACUUCCAACUUUGUCCGACAUUUGAAGUUGCAUGAAGAACGGUAGGUGUUACUUUUCUUUAGCUACGAUGAGAUAGCUGACUUAGCUAACUUCAUCUUAUUAGCAAAUGUUCCCCGGGCUACGUUGAUGAUACUGUUUGGCUUUAACAUGUAUGAUAUCUUUGUCAUGCUAUUUUAAAUCCGGUCCUACAAGCGCAUCCAAGAAUAAACUACUGCAUAAACUACUUAUGGUUGAACGUUUUGCUGAAGUAGGAUGGUUUGUCAGAACACCGUUUCAGAAAGUGGCUUAGUACCUGAACUCGGGGAAGACAGUUUCUCUCCGUCUUCUCCCCAUCAUUAACCCCGCUUAGACUGACAAAUAUUUAUUUUACCAUCACAUCAAAAUUCAAAACCACUUAAUUUGCAAUUAGUGCAUGGCGGAAACCUGCAGUCAGCUGAGACUGAGGAAGUCACUUGGAUGAGUGACGAAAUGUUUCUCCCACAAAACGCUACGUCCAGAUGAACAGAAUAAACUUUUGGAGAGUGCAUGGCGGUGUUUAACUUUUGCAUUUCUUUUAUCUGUUACGGACAGGACAAAUGCAAUGCAAUUUCUUGGUUAAAAAAUCUGUCCCAUCUUAGUGUGUAAUUGAGUAGCCCUGCUAUACUUGGCCUUUUUUCUGUCAUUUAUGUCAAUACAUCACAUAAAAUACUUUGAGUGUUUUUAUUGUAUUAGCUGUUGUUUAUUUGCAAAUGUCAGUUAUUCUUAAUAGUGAUGCUAAACAUUGCUUAUUAGAACUGUAUGCAGAGUUUUGAGAAAAGUGUUUUAAUAAAUAAUUUUUAUAAUUUUUUUGAUUGUCUGAAAGCUAUGGGGAUUUAAGUGUUAAUAUUUAUUUAGGAUUAAUUGGAACAACUUAAAGUCAAAUGCAAUUCAUGAAUGGCUGUAAUGGAAUUUCUGACAUCAGUUUAAUAUGCUUACCCCUAGCAGAUUUGAAGAACACCAGAUAAAAAAGAGGAUCACAAAUGAACCUCAACAGCCUUCCAUAUCACAGUUUGUGGACACUUGGGCCUGGCAGUACAGAAUGACUCAUCCACAGCAGAAAGCCAUCACGAAUGCAUUAUUAAGUGACUUGAUUAUUGGUUGCAACCUACCCCUGUCUAUUGUGGAAAACAAGAGUUUUCGGCACUUUCUGACAGUGGUUGACAGCAAAUACAGCCCGGUAUGUCGCAGAACAAUUACAUCAAAAACAGAGAACCUUUCUGCUGAGAAACGUUCAAUGUUAAAAAGUCAGUUGAGCGAGACUGAUCAUGUUUCAGUUACUGUGGACAUUUGAUCGGACCGAAAGAUGAGGUCCUUGGUAUCACUGUGCACUGGAUACAGAAAGAGACAGAGAGGAUACAGCUGAAAUCCAAAGUGCUGGCCUUUGACCCCUUCAAAGGCUUACACACUGGUGACAGAAUCUGUGAGAAAUUUGAAGCUAUAUGUGACGAAUACAACAUCAAAGAUAAACUAGACUAUAUUAUUAGUGACAAUGCUGCAAAUAUGCGAAAAGCAUUCACUGUGUGCUUUCCCACUGAGCAAGGUGAGGAACAUGAUGAUGAUGAUGGUGAUCAUCUUGACGACCCAGAGCUCUGGCACAACUUAACCUAGGAAGAUCAGGAAACAGUAGGUGCUGCUAUGGCAAAGAAACCGCGCCUGUAGUGUUUUGCGCACACACUUCAGCUGGUGGUGAGAGAUGGGUUGUCAGAGACCAAAGUGUCAUCUCCUUCGCUUUCAAAGUUAUCUGAGCUCAGCUCUCUACUGCACACAAGCACAACAUUCAAAGAUGUGUUUGAAGCUGAAUUUGGUGAACAGAAAGCGAUCCCUGCUGCUGUAAUCAUAAGAUGGAAUUCAACACUGAGACAAGUAAAGGCAGUUCUCCAAUGUGAACAUCUAAAACUCUGUGCUGUUCUUGAAAUGGCUGGGCGCAAGGAGUUAUUGUUCACAGCAUGAGAGUGGAACCUGUUGAGGGAGAUGGUGGAAUCUUGAAGCCUUUCAGAGAAGCAACAGUUUUUGAGACAAGGUGAGAAAAUAGUCACGAUCAGUGCUGUUGUUCCAUCCUCACUGUCCCUCAAUCACCACCUUGAGAAACUGAAGCCUCAAGUCAGUUUCCUGAAUGGUCUGGUCAGGAGUCUCCAAGCAUCUUUGACCAAAAGAUUUCUUGGAAUCUUUAUCAGUGUGUGAAUGGCUAGAGCAGAAGAUGGGAUCACUGCCCCUGUUUCAGAUCCAGUGUACCUCAAAGCAGCUGCUUUGGAUCCAGCAUUUUCUCUGUUGUGGGUUGAACACCAUGUGUUGGGCAGUUGUGACAUAAAGACAGAGGUGACACAAAAAGUAAAAGAUCUGAUCCUGCAAGACGCUACAGAUCCUGCAAAGUCAGAGCAACCUGUGACUCCUGGUGAGGAACAUCAAGAGGACUGUGAAGAUGGAGGACUCUUUGCUGCUUACUGUAAGAUGCAGAAGGAUGUGGGGACCAGUCCAGUCACUACCUGGAUAUUGCUGAUGGGCAGAAUGCCCUCUUGUUCUGGGCAAUGAACAUUCAGACUCUUCCUUCACUGUUUCAUGUGGCCACCAGAGUUUUGGCAGUACUUGCAUGUAGUGCUCCAGUAGAGCGAGUUUUCAGCUAUGGUGGCAUCAUUCUACGACCUCAUCGUGCACAAAUGACUGACAGACUUUUGGCCAGUUUGGUCUUUUGCAAAUGCAAUGCAAAAUAGUUAACUGAAAUAACUAAAAGUGCACAUUCCUGUUCAUUGUUCAGUUCAUACAUAGAUAGAUAGAUAGAUAGAUAGAUAGAUAGAUAGAUAGAUUUGUUUUAAAAUUUUUUUCUCUGUCACUCACACAUGGACACAUACAAACACAUGUUCACACAGAGACUAGAUGGGAGAGACUGGACAUGCUAAUCACACUGCACUAAAUUUACUGCGAUGUUUCUUUGUUUUGUACUGUGGAAAUCUCAGCACUUUUUAUCUGAACAGGAAGUUCUGCUUUUGCAUUUUUCAUUGAAUGUUUAUUCUGUGAAUUUAUAGUUUAAAGGAAGACUAUUCUUGCAGAUAAGUUUAAUUGAGUUGUACAUUAUAGAGAUGCAAUUUCAGAAUUACUUUGUGUAUAUUUUGUAAGUUCACUUGUUUCAUCAUGUGUUGAGAUAAACACAGAUUUAAAAAAGAACACAUCGUCUAUUAUUUACAUUUAACAUAUAAUUCCAACAUUGUUUUUUUUUAAAAAACACUCAAAAGGACUUGAAAUUCAAAGUUUCGGGACUUGACUUGAGAGUUCCCUGUCUUGACUUGAGACUUGACUCUGACUUGAGGAUAAAUACUUGAGACUUACUUGAGACUUGCAAAACAAUGACUUGGUCCCACCUCUGCUUGGAAUCAUUAUCUUGGUUCAUUAUAUUAUUACUGAACUGCAAAUUUUAAAACUCUUGCAGUCACUUUUAACAUGUCAGACUGCUAUCAACAUCCCAACUGAACCCAUACACAGUUAUUAAUAAAUGAUGGUAGAGCUGGAUGCUGUGUUGCAGUUGGAGAAUCAAUUAGACUUUAUCUAAUUGAUCUCUAACUUAAAUAUUACUGACAUAUUUACCAUACAGAAUUUUUCAUGGCAUAGGUGUUGGAAACAUCCCUCAGAGAUUCUGGUCAACAUUGAUAAGAUGGCAUCACACAGUUGCUGCAGAUUUUUUGGCUGCAUAUCGAUGAUGCAAGUCUUCUGGGCCAUCACAUCACAAAGGUGCUCUACUGGAUUUAGAUUUAGUCGCCACAGUGUGCCACUAGAAUACAGAGAACUCAUUGUCAAGUUCAAAAAACCAUUUCGAGAUGACUUGAGCGUUUCAGAAUUGCAUGUUAUCUUAGUGGAAGCAGCCAUCAGAAGAAAGGCACACUGUAGUCAAAAAGGGAUCGACAUGGUUAGCAACAAUACUGAGGUGGCAUUUAAAUGAUGCUCAGCUGGUACUAGGGAGCUGAAAGUGUGCCAAGAAAAUAUACCCUACACCAUUACAUCACCAGCAGCCUAUACAGUUGAUACAAGGCAGGAUGGAUCCAUGCUUUCAAGCUUUUUAUGCUAAAUUCUGACCCUACCAUUUGAAUGUUGCAGCAAACAUGAACACUUAUCAAACCAGGCAACAGUUUUCCAUCUUUUAUUGUAAAAGUUUGAAGAGACUAUAUGAAUUGUAGCCUCAGUUUCCCAUUCUUAGCUGACAGGAGUGGCACCUGGUGUGGUCUUCUGCUGCUAUAGCUCAUUGACUUCAGGGUUUGGUGUAUUAUGCCUUCAGAGCAUACCUUGGCUGUGGUAAUAGUUUAUUUGAGUUACUGCUGUUUUCUUAUCAUCUCAAAGUAACCUGGCCAUCAUCAAUAAGGCAUUUUCACCCUCACUGGAUAUUUGCUCUUUAUUUUCUCUUCUCUGUAAACCCUAGAGAUGGCUGUGAGGAAAAAAUCCUAGUAGGUCAGCAGUAUCUGAAACACUCAAACCAGCCCAUUUGGAAACCAUGCCAUGUUUAAAGUCAAAAUUUUAAAGUUUCUUCUGAUUCUUCUUCUGGUCUGAAUUUCAGAAAGACAUCUUGACCAUUUCUUAUAUGCCUAGAUUUAAUGAGUUGCUACCAUGUGAUUAGCUGAUUCGAUAUUUGCAUCAACCAGCACCUGUUGUUGUGCCCCCAACAUCAAGUGUACCCGAUAAAGUGGCGCAUGAGCGUGGGUCUAUUCGAUCAGUCCUGCCAUUCUCUUAUACUCCGAUAUGUCAAUGACCUCAGAAA
Oreochromis niloticus (Nile tilapia) is the source of this 5097-nucleotide long non-coding RNA. RefSeq lists it as uncharacterized. The transcript is spliced from 2 exons. Lineage: Eukaryota; Metazoa; Chordata; Actinopteri; Cichliformes; Cichlidae. The record is from RefSeq and is a predicted model, not a curated record.